AUAUGAGAAAAACAAUUUGUUUGUGGUUUUUUUCCAUCUGGAUUUUAGGUGCUAAUUUGGCUGAUUAGUGGAUUUAUGCAUAUGAAAAUGUUUAAUUUACAGGUUGUUUUAUUUUGUGUGGAUCUUCUUAGAAUGUUUAAUUGUGUAGGCUAUUGAUCUUGCUAUCCACUUUCAAGGAAUAUUUCACAAGGUAUUUUCAUGCCUCUUUUUUUUUUAUUAAACAGUGUUCUGGUUCUUAGUUGUUUCAUUCUUUCUUACAAGCUAUUUUCUACUAAAUUUUUUAGAAUAUGUUUGUUGUUGUUGAAAGAGCUUAAGUUAAGUUAAUCAAUGCUUAUUCUUUGUUUGCAUGAUAGCUUGAGAUUAGGGUGUUGUUUUGCUCUGUUGGAAAAUAUAUGCUUGCUGAUAUGUGUGUUUUUUUAAAAAAAAAAGGUCUUGCUUGAACUCAUGCUUAGUGAUAUGUGUUUAAAAAAAGAGUUGAUUGAACUCAUGUUAGAGGUUAUUUAAAGAGAUGCAUUCCGAAAUGAAAUAUGCUUAAGAAUAAAAAAUAAUAAUAUAUUGCAGAUUUUUCCAUUUGGGUGUUAAUUUCUAGCUUAACUGAUGAAAUAAUUUAGGCAAUCAAUUUUAUUACUUCUAUGCUUCAAAAUGAAGAAUUAAAUUGUUUAUUGAUUUGACAUGGUAAUUUAAGGUGUUGUAUGUUGAAUUAAGAAUUUUUGACAAGUUGUUUUAUAUUUCGUUGGCCUAUGAAUUAAAUUAUAUAUAGUUAGCAAUUAAAUUACGACUUUAAAUUUCAGUGUGUAUGAUUUCUGCCUGAAAUGGUUUAAAACUUUACGCUUAGCCAUUAUUGUUUUAUUGGGUUCUAUUUUCUCUCCACAAAUAUACAUUGCUCAUUUCAAGACCUUUCAAUUCAAUUACAUAUGAUUGCUGGCUACUUUUUUUUUCAACAAAACUUGCAUAGAGAAAAUUCUGUUUCUGAGAAUGUAUUGUUAAUUGCCAUGACUUUAAUUAAUUUUGGUUGCAUGUAAUUGUAAUGUGUGAGUUGUAUUGUGUUAUCUCAUUCCUUUGUAGCAUGAUCAGCAUAAUACAUACGUUAUCUAAUAACAUUUCUUUGCUGCACUAUGUUCACACAAAGCCUUGGGUUACUUCAUUGUUGUUAAACUUCACGUUGUUUUGUUCCCUUUUAAAAAAAUUGUUAUUUGAGAUGAGGCAUUUGAAGUUGACUGGUGCUUCGGAUAUGAGAAAAACAAUUUGUUUGUGGUUUUUUUCCAUCUUGAUUUUGGGUGCUAAUUUGGGUGAUUAGUGGAUUUAUGCAUUUGAAAAUGUUUGUUUUACAGGUUGCUUUAUUUUGUGUGGAC
Molecule: long non-coding RNA, 1352 nt
Filed under: Populus tremula
Lineage: Eukaryota; Viridiplantae; Streptophyta; Magnoliopsida; Malpighiales; Salicaceae
Description: long non-coding RNA (PTRE_LNC003334)
Source: RNAcentral